RNAcentral lists this ribosomal RNA (432 nucleotides) under uncultured bacterium. RNAcentral's name for it is "partial 16S ribosomal RNA". It matches the Rfam family "Bacterial small subunit ribosomal RNA", at positions 29 to 506 of the family's 1533-position model. The record is from RNAcentral.
AACGAACGCUGGCGGCAUGCCUAACACAUGCAAGUCGAACGAGACCUUCGGGUCUAGUGGCGCACGGGUGCGUAACGCGUGGUAAUUUGCCCUUGGGUUCGGAAUACUAGUUUUAAACGACUGCUAAUACCGGUUGAUGACGUAAGUCCAAAGAUUUAUCGCCGAAGGAUGAGCCCGCGUAGGAUUAGCUAGUUGGUGAGGUAAAGGCUCACUAAGGCGACGAUCCUUAGCUGGUCGGAGAGGAGGAUCAGCCACACUGGGACAGGGACACGGCCCAGACUCCUGCGGGAGGAGGCAGUGGGGAAUAUUGGAGAGGGAGCGAAAGCCUGAACCGGCAAGGCCGCGAGAGUGAUGAAGGCGUUAGGAUUGUAAAGCUCUUUUACCCGGGAUGAUAAGAAGAGAACCGGUAGAAUAAGCUCGGCCUAACUCCGU